UGCUCUGACAUCAACUAUGACAGAUUUGUCCUGUACAAGUUAGGGGGAGCUGACUUGUCACAUGGCAGUGCCCCCGUGAAGCUCACUGUCUCAGGAUCCAUUGGAGUAUCCAGCCUGUCACCCUCAAGGCCCAUGCCAACAGAUGCCUCAGAGAUCCAGGAUCACACAGUGGAGAAUCUCAUCAGGAUGGGAUUUGCUGUCAUGAUCCUCACAGUCCUUGGGAUUCUGGUCAUUAAGGAUUGGGUCAGCCAGAAGCAGGCCCAACGUGCAGCUGAGAAGUAAUCAGAGAAGAAUGAAGUACAUCUCUCAAGGUUCCAGAGUCUAGGAAAUAAAUGUGAUGAUCCCAAGAAUUCUGUAAGAAAAUCCAGUUCUUAAACUAAGGAACUAGAGAGAUUAUGUCCAGGGAGCAAAUGUGAUUUAGGUGCAGAAAUAUCCUUGGGUGUGAUGAGAUCCUUCCUCAGCAAAUGAGUUUACAUCCCUCAACCUACUGUGGGUGUUUGCUGAAUGAACCAUCACCUUUAUUGAUCUAUAUAGUGUGGGAAUAUUCUGUGCCAUCUGCCUGGCUUUGGUCCUCAUUUCUGUACAUUUCCCACCCUCCCCAUGUGUCAUUUUCCAUUUUAAUAAAUUGUCACAUUCUCUGUGGCAGAAGCAUCUCUCUAUUGAACUAGAAAUAGAAAAUGUACCCCAAUAACAAAAAAGACAAGUAAAGUUGGAGCUCAGAAUUCAAAGUCACUCUGCCUAU
Molecule: non-coding RNA, 742 nt
Organism: Peromyscus maniculatus bairdii (prairie deer mouse)
Lineage: Eukaryota; Metazoa; Chordata; Mammalia; Rodentia; Cricetidae
Source: RefSeq, a predicted model, not a curated record